AAACCGUUCAGGGGUAAACCUGAGGAACCCGAAAGAUCGAAUGGGAAGAUUCAGCGUCAGCGGCGCUUGCUCGGCGGGAUCGUGCGUCUUCUCGGACCGGAUUCUUCGGUCAUGGGUCGACGCAAUCUUUCCAUGCCUUGUUUAGGCGUCGUCGUCGUGCACUUCUCCCCUAGUAGAACGUCGCGACCCGUUGGGUGCCGGUCUACGGUCCGAGCGGGUUAGACUGUCGCGUCGCUUAGGCGCACGCGGCAGACCCUCGGUCAAACCCGGCCGGCUGCCCGGCGGUCGAACAUAUAAGGUAUCUUGCCGCAAUUGAUCGAAAUGCGUCGCGGCCCGUCGCAAGCUAGGCCAGUGUCUAUAGCGCGGAGUUACGGACCCGGUGCCGUACCCGCGGCUGGCCGGCUGUUGGCAGACGGAGUCCUUCGACGGGCAAUACACAGAACGAUACCGGUCUGCGACGCUACUGCUUUGGGUACUCUCAGGACCCGUCUUGAAACACGGACCAAGGAGUCUAACAUGUGCGCGAGUCAUUGGGACUGCGAAGCCUAAAGGCGCAAUGAAAGUGAAGGUCGCACCCAACUUAAGGUCGACCGAGGGAGGAUGGGCCGCGUUUCCGCGCGGCUCCGCACUCCCGGGGCGUCUCGUUCUCAUUGCGAGAAGAGGCGCACCCAGAGCGUACACGUUGGGACCCGAAAGAUGGUGAACUAUGCCUGGUCAGGACGAAGUCAGGGGAAACCCUGAUGGAGGUCCGUAGCGAUUCUGACGUGCAAAUCGAUCGUCGGAACUGGGUAUAGGGGCGAAAGACUAAUCGA
Molecule: ribosomal RNA, 812 nt
Filed under: Parachartergus fraternus
Lineage: Eukaryota; Metazoa; Arthropoda; Insecta; Hymenoptera; Vespidae
Description: eukaryotic LSU rRNA
Rfam family: Eukaryotic large subunit ribosomal RNA
Source: RNAcentral